GACGAACGCUGGCGGCGUGCCUAAUACAUGCAAGUCGAGCGCAGGAAACUGACGGAACUCUUCGGAGGGAAGGCAGUGGAAUGAGCGGCGGACGGGUGAGUAACACGUAAGGAACCUGCCUCAAGGAUUGGGAUAACUCCGAGAAAUCGGAGCUAAUACCGGAUAGUUCAACGGACCGCAUGGUCCGCUGAUGAAAGGCGCUUCGGCGUCACCUUGAGAUGGCCUUGCGGUGCAUUAGCUAGUUGGUGGGGUAACGGCCCACCAAGGCGACGAUGCAUAGCCGACCUGGGAGGGUGAUCGGCCACACUGGGACUGAGACACGGCCCAGACUACUACGGGAGGCAGCAGUAGGGAAUCUUCCACAAUGAACGAAAGUCUGAUGGAGCAACGCCGCGUGAGUGAUGAAGGUUUUCGGAUCGUAAAACUCUGUUGUAAGGGAAGAACACGUACGAGAGGAAAUGCUCGUACCUUGACGGUACCUUACGAGAAAGCCACGGCUAACUACGUGCCAGCAGCCGCAGUAA
This 524-nucleotide ribosomal RNA is filed under the name uncultured bacterium. RNAcentral describes it as "partial 16S ribosomal RNA". It matches the Rfam family "Bacterial small subunit ribosomal RNA", at positions 28 to 523 of the family's 1533-position model. The record is from RNAcentral.